This 532-nucleotide ribosomal RNA is filed under the name uncultured Dyella sp. Its description in RNAcentral is "bacterial SSU rRNA". It matches the Rfam family "Bacterial small subunit ribosomal RNA", at positions 1 to 523 of the family's 1533-position model. Lineage: Bacteria; Pseudomonadati; Pseudomonadota; Gammaproteobacteria; Lysobacterales; Rhodanobacteraceae. The record is from RNAcentral.
CGCCCUUGAGUUUGAUCAUGGCUCAGAUUGAACGCUGGCGGCAUGCCUAACACAUGCAAGUCGAACGGCAGCACAGCAGAGCUUGCUCUGUGGGUGGCGAGUGGCGGACGGGUGAGUAAUGCAUCGGGACCUACCUAGACGUGGGGGAUAACGUAGGGAAACUUACGCUAAUACCGCAUACGUCCUACGGGAGAAAGCAGGGGACCUUCGGGCCUUGCGCGGUUAGACGGACCGAUGUUCGAUUAGCUUGUUGGUAAGGUAAUGGCUUACCAAGGCGACGAUCGAUAGCUGGUCUGAGAGGAUGAUCAGCCACACUGGAACUGAGACACGGUCCAGACUCCUACGGGAGGCAGCAGUGGGGAAUAUUGGACAAUGGGCGCAAGCCUGAUCCAGCAUUUUUUUUUGUGUGAAGAAGGCCUUCGGGUUGUAAAGCACUUUUAUCAGGAGCGAAAUACUACCGGCUAAUACCCGGUGGGGCUGACGGUACCUGAGGAAUAAGCACCGGCUAACUUCGUGCCAGCAGCCGCGGUAA